Oreochromis niloticus (Nile tilapia) is the source of this 455-nucleotide long non-coding RNA. RefSeq lists it as uncharacterized. The transcript is spliced from 2 exons. The record is from RefSeq and is a predicted model, not a curated record. NCBI's taxonomy places the organism in Eukaryota, Metazoa, Chordata, Actinopteri, Cichliformes, Cichlidae.
AUUGUGGGAGCGCGGCGCCAUAUUCGGGGUCUACGAAUCAAAACAGACACUGUGUUGGAACGACGACGACAAGAAUCAUGCUUAAAAGCAGCUCCAAAGAAAACGGACGGUAUAGAGACCGAUUGCGUCCAGAGGCGAAGCUGCGGUACUUGCAGAAAAUAGCGUGCAUUGGAAAUGUGGACCCGUUUGAAAUACGGCCAUGGAGUAGAAACCCUGAAUACCUACCGCUACUGAUGUAGCCUGACAUAUUUUCGUACCUUAUCUGUGGAGUCAGCGCGUACAAGUCGUCAUUCAAACAAAGGUCCUGCACUCUCAAAGACUGAAUGAACCAGCAUUGCAGCCAUGGGUCACUGUGAGCAUCACAGGGAAGGUUGAAGCCGCCCGCUGCAGCUGUAUGGCCGGAGUCUCGGAGACCUGCAGCCAUGUCCCUGCUCUUCUGUUUAAUGUAGAAGCAA